AGUUCACAGAGGACUUUGAACAGAGGAGGAACUCUGUCUAAUACAGGCAACCCGAAAGAUCCCCCUUCUGGGCUGAGAACACAGUUCAGGGGUAGAACAUUCCCUAGCAGGCCUGCCACUACAAUAAACGGAAAUAAAAUGUCCUAAGUGAAAACUAAGCCACCCUUGCUACCGUGUAGGAGGCGGAACUCAGUGAGAAGGCACAAGGGGGGCACCGAAAGGAGAAGUCGGAGGACUGUUCUAAAGCCUCAGGGAAAGCCAGGCGUGGUGGCACACGUCGACUGUGUCAACAAUCAGGAGGCUGAGACAGGAGGAUGGCCAGGAGUUCAAGGCAAGUCCAAUGACGUACUGAGUUCCAGGUCCAGAAGGCAAUUUGAAGAGACAUCUACCAGCAUUAACUGGAGCAGCGUGUGUCCAAUUACCACAGGCUGGGUGACAGCGGGUAGAUUGUGUCACGGAGAGCACUCUGGGCAAAACCUGAAUUCUAAAACUGGAGACCACUGGAAAAUGAGGAUGGAGCCUAGCAUUCUGCAAGGCUGGUGAGCGAAGAGAAAUAGUACAGCGUUUACAAAAGGAUGUUUUUAAAAGCCCGCGAAAAGUUGAUUAACUUCGGUGGGUGAUCAUGCUUACAGACCUGCAGGCAAGGCAAACCGCCAAUGUGCCUCCCAUUGCGACAGCCAGGAAGGGAAGCCAUGCUGCAACGCGGGUGUCUUCCAGUCUGCCCUGGUACGGCUGUUUCAGCAGCACUGUCCUUCAGAGCUGGACUGGGUGGCCGGAGAGGCAGGUAUGAGGCAGGUAGAACCUACCUCCUGAGCCAACUUAACUGAGUUGCAGAGGGGGAGGCAGGAAGAGGGCAUGGGGUGGGGUGAGCGGGAGCAGGCGUGCUUUCUCUCGGCGUCACUUGUUUUCUCGGGGUGUUCGAUUGAUGAACCUAGAGCAAGUCAGCCAUUCCCAUGUAGUCUGCAAUUAAAAGAAACAAUAGCAUGUUA
Molecule: long non-coding RNA, 989 nt
Organism: Mesocricetus auratus (golden hamster)
Lineage: Eukaryota; Metazoa; Chordata; Mammalia; Rodentia; Cricetidae
Exons: 2
Source: RefSeq, a predicted model, not a curated record